GUUACGGUCUUCUCUGGAUUUUGGAGUAUCGCUUCCUGCCCCCGCCUUCCCUCCCCGCCCCAUUCUCUGUCCUAUUGAACACCUCGCCCAGCCUAGCGCACUGCAAGCUCACAUUCUCCCCCCGGCUCCGGAUGGCGCUCCUGGAAGCUCUUCAGCCGGGCUCCACUUCAAAUGGGAGUGUCUCCCAAGUGAAAGGACACAGACUGCGGGGACUGCCAGCCUGAUGGGCGCUCGUGCCAGCUGUGAAGCUUUGAAACAAAGCAAGUGACCACCUGAAGAUACCCCUCCUGCCCAGCAGCCCCCCACAUGAUGCAGUUGCAGCCAACAGUCAUCUUGAAAAGAAACAGAAAGACCCAGACCAUUCAUGAGUCAUAAAUUUGCCUUUCCUCAUGUGCAUUUGUCUGUCUGUGUUCAGAUUCACAUGCCAUCUAGUUUUGAACCAAGUAUGGAUAGGAGUAUUAGUCUGCUUGGGUAAAGGCAACUUUCCCCAGGUGUGUUAACGUAUGACGAGACUGGAUUUUCUGGGAAGACUGGUGUUCAAUCAACAUAUAGUAUUUGUUCUUGAACAAGAUCCAGAAAGUUCAAAACAAUGUCUCCACAGGUGGCCCACAAAGACACUCAUGCCACCACGCAGAAACACAACAUCAUGCCCCCAGACUCUGAGCGGCAAGUUUGACACCGUGACAUAUAGCAGCUGCUUCCAAGGGUGGAAAUCAAACUGGGCAAGGGUAUCCUAGCUACCCAAUAUGUAGUGAUAAAACUGAUUCAGUUGACAAUAAGAGCAGAAAUAAAACAAAAGACGAUGGACUCAGAAGAGGCCAAGUUGAUUUGCCUAAGGGAGAAUGUUGCCCUAAAGAGAAAAUAUGAAGUGAACCUGAAAGAAGGUUAAAAGAAAAGUGUUGCAUAAAUGGGAAGGUAGGAGAAAAUAGAGUCCUUAAAGUGGACAUGAUAGUAUGCAAGGGCAGGGCAUAGGAAAUCCUCAGGGUGAGUUUUGAAGGUGGCAAAUACGUCAACAUGACUCCCCCCAGUACUCAGCACCCCUCUCUGUGCGUCUUAUAAAGAUGGUGCACACAUGUAUCUUCCCUUUCAUACCCCAGACAUCACCUAAGCCCAGCUAGAACUAAAGCUCCAGUUCUCUGUCACAAGAAAAAGAAGAAGGCAGUUGGUGGCACCUGCGUAGAACUCACGAUUCUUUUGUUCAUAAUUGCUAGUUACCAAAUUUCUUCAAUUUGUGAAGCAUUUUGCUUAAGAAAUUUCACGACAACUAUGAAAAUCAUACAUUAUUCUUGCUUCUUAGGUGAUUAAACUGAUAUUGAUGAGGCUAAGUGCCUGGCCGAGGUGCUAGGUGCAGCUAUGAACAUUCAAGGCUGUGGUCACAAAACUCAUGAGCUGAAGUCUGAAGCCAGAAUUUUGUGAUCAGUGCCAAUGCUGUUGUCCUUUUCCCCACAGCCCUUAACGUCUAUCUGUGCAAACAACUCGCUCUUCUGCUUACUGAUGGCCUCAAUGGUUUUGCAUGUGAAUUACACGAGAAUGAUAAAAAUGUGUUUUCACAACAGAAAAUUGAGCAUUUAGUGGAGGAGAGCCUGCCAACAGUCUAGAUAUUUCCUUUGCAUUUUGGUCAGACAUCAUGAGACUUUUGACACAGAUACCUCUUACAAUAUCUCUUUGACAGAAAACAAAUCUAGAGUCUGUAAGAAAAGUAACUUAAAGAAAAAUCCCAAACAGCUCAAACAAACAAAACAAAACAAAACAAAACAAAACAAAACAAAACAAAACAAACCACAUAUUUGUAAGUGGCCCAGAAAGGACAAGAAAGUAGGCCUUCAGUUGUCUUUCAAUGGCUUUUAAAUGAUUCCACCCUGCCCCAAAGAAACACAUACUUCUAUUUAAUUAAAGGAGGUACCAUGUCUAUGUGAUCAAGGAAUGUCUCAUAGACCAGAUUUAAUAGAUCUCUCCAUUCCCGUCCCCUCUUUGGCCACUUCAUGUCAGUGUGAAAUACAGCUAUGAGCUAGUGUAUUUGGGUCAAGAAGUUGUCAAUAAUCUGUCCCCAAGGAGUAUCAAAUAGCUACAGUUGUAUGCAUACUGUUUCAUUAAUGAUAUUCCCAAUCAUGGAGUCAUUGGUUCACCUGUACAGGUUCAAUUUCCCAUUGGACAUCUUCUCAAUCCACUUGGCCAGUGUUCCACUUUUGUAAACGCUGUGAGUGCUCUUACCCAUGGCUGUCUCAGUGCUACUUAAGUGUUAACAAUGACCCCUAGUCAUUUUGUGUUGUAAUCCUCGUUUAUUCGUAUAACUAAUUCAAAGAUAUUUGGUCCAUAAAAAUAUAGAACUAAAAAUCCCAUUCUUGCUUCCAGCCCCUCUGCCUUUGAUUGACAUUGAGCAGUGAUUAAUAAAGCGGCUGGCUACAUAACAUAGAUGCCCAAAUUGUGAUUUUUGUCUUCAAGGGGACAAUUAAGCUAGGUCUACUAAGGGACAGAUGUUUAACUUUUGGAGAUACCUGGAUAUUUAACCGAUGUAACGUUUUACUUAGCUGUUUGAUGUUGUCAUAUGCAGUCCCCAUCAUGGUUCUGGCUGUCUUGUUUUUUCAAACUAUUUGUUGGCUCUGUCUCACACUGUUCUCACUGAGUUCAUAAAUAAACAGGUUUGUUGUGAAUGAGUAGCCCAAGCACAAAGUGUGACUUUGUUGACAUUUUAUGAGACUUUUCUAGGUCCUUGACUCCAAAUAAAAGAAAGGUUGCAUUAACUGUGAA
Non-coding RNA from Myodes glareolus (Bank vole), 2748 nucleotides. The record is from RefSeq and is a predicted model, not a curated record. Lineage: Eukaryota; Metazoa; Chordata; Mammalia; Rodentia; Cricetidae.